This is a long non-coding RNA of Uranotaenia lowii, 3051 nucleotides long. RefSeq lists it as uncharacterized. The record is from RefSeq and is a predicted model, not a curated record. The transcript has 3 exons. NCBI's taxonomy places the organism in Eukaryota, Metazoa, Arthropoda, Insecta, Diptera, Culicidae.
CGGUACUGCGAAUAUUUAAAUCUAAUUUGUGGAUUAAGAAUUCCCAAUUCAAAUAGUAAAGUGUGACUUUUUCAUUCAGAAUUUAAAUAUCAGGAGUUCACAAUUCCGAAAUUAGUACUUUUCCGUAAUUGUGGUCAAAAUCCGUUUUCGCUUGGACAAAAUAAAGAACGCACUCUUAUAAUUGGGGUUUUUUCUCUUCUUGAAAAAUUGUUUCGUCUUCUUAUAUGUUCAAAAGAAUUCAAUUAUCUGCCAAAGGCGUCGGGAACUAAGGGUUUCAUUAUUUCUUCAUCCUUUUAGGGGCACAUGAAUCCGAUAAGGUGGUGAAAAAUCAAGUUUCCGUAGAUAGAUGUGUGAACUUCCUGCUGCUGCUUGAAGCACAAUUUAUUAUCCGUACGCGUACCUAAUGAGACGCACAGUCUGCCUACGGAAGAAAAUCGAAUAACCACGCGUUCUCUCUCUAAAAAAGUUCAUGAACCUUUUCGCUAAAUGGUUCGUGAGCCAAAAUCGCGAGGAAAUUUUCAUGAAUGUUACCAUUUCCACGAGCGAGAUAGGAUUCAAAAUCCAAAAGAAUCGUCGGUUGGUUGGACUGCCUCGCUCGCGUUUCCUAUGGUUCACGAACCUAAGGGAUUUUUUUCACAGCCUGCUCGCGCUUUGGCUAAUCUUUACGAGUAAAAAUCGUAGACGAGCGGGAGUCGGCACUCGUGUACACGAUUUUAUUAGUCCUUGAUCCCAUGACGAAAAUUCAGCGCCAGACCUUACAAUUAAAGGAAAGGAUAGAUAGAAAAUGAAGUAAAUCAAUAAUUUAAUGCUUGAAUCAUUAAUUUACAUAAAAAUUGAACGUAUAGUAGCAAAAUGAUUCCGAAGAAAUCUAGUUCUUAGUCACAAAAAACAUGAAUAAAUAACUCUAAACCAAAAUUAUUUUUUCGACAAACAUCAACCGAUGAACCACGCUCAAAAGAUCAGCCUUUGGUCAGGAUGGUUCCUUCGUGGGUAAUUUCGACGAUCUAAUGUGUGAUCGGGUGGGUGGUACUUGAAGUGUUGUUUCGGUAACAAAUAACAAAAUUUUUUCAUUGCUUUUUUCUAUAUGCAUAACAAUAUCUGUUGUGUUUUCGUUUAUUACCUAGGAUGAUGCUCCGGAAGCAAUCUCCUUCUUUGUCUGAAUCCAGCAAACUUUUGGUCGGCGUUAUCUACACAGCAAUUUUUUUUGCUGGAAACCAGCAAAAUUUUGCUGGGUUUCGUCCCGCUGACUUUCCAGCUAAAUUUCCAGCAAUUUAAAUUGCUGGAAAAAACAGCAAACGUUAAUGCUGGUUUCCAGCAAUUCAAAUUGCUGGAAAAUCAGCAAUCCAGAUUGCUGGAAACCAGCUAUUUCUUUCAAAACAACCGGCUGUAUUUAGUACCAAAUUUAUAUUUCAAUUCUAAAUUAAAUAUUGAAUACUGGCUGUGCAUAUAAUGAGCAAUGAAAAAGAAUUAGUUUCUUCCAUUUUUAAAUUAUGUUUUGUUUAUUUUCAAGAACUUUUUUUUAAUUUUCCAACACCGGCUCUGGAGUGGCAGCUUUGUGCCAGAGUGUUGAUCAUUCGCUACCUGAGAAAAGAGUUCUGAUUAGUUUCUUUUAUGAAAUCUGUCCAAUAAAAACUCACCCUUGACUUGUGUCUGGUUGCUAAAAUAUAGAGGGAAAUAAAAAUAAUUAUAUUAAUCCAACCAAAAUUCGCAAAAUAAAGUCUCACCUUGCUUCAGCGUACGAAAACAAACAGACUCCAAUAUGACAACUCGAUUCCUGAUUUUCCAGCAAACUAGAACAAUUGCUGGAAAGUCCAGCAAUUUGAAAACCGAUUGCUGAUUUUUCAGCAAAAAUGACAAGAACACAACCGAUUGCUGAAAAAUCCAGCAAUUAGAAAACCGUUUGCUGGUUUCCAGCAAAAAUUUGGAUUGCUGAACAUUUCCAGCAAUUUUUUUUGCUGGAAAUCGAGGCAAAAAUUUACAGUGUGUGAUCGGGUGGGUGGUACUUGAAGUGUUGUUUCGGUAACAAAAUAACAAAAUUUUUUCAUUGCUUUUUUCUAUAUGCAUAACAAUAUCUGUUGUGUUUUCGUUUAUUACCUAGGAUGAUGCUCCGGAAGCAAUCUCCUUCUUUGUCUGAAUCCAGCAAACUUUUGGUCGGCGUUAUCUACACAGCAAUUUUUUUUUGCUGAAAACCAGCAAAAUUUUGCUGGUUUUUGUCCCGCUGACUUUCCAGCACAAUUUCCAGCUAUUGAAAUUGCUGGAAAAAACAGCAAACGUUAUUGCUGGUUUCCAGCCAUUCAAAUUGCUGGAAAAUCAGCAAUCCAGAUUGCUGGAAACCACACCCAAAAUAAUUUUGAAAUUUUUUCUACGAGAUUUUUCACGUAAAUUUAGAUUUUGUGGCAUCCUAUCGAUUCUACGUGAGUUUUGUGUAACCACAGAGUAUCAAGGAUGAUCUCGUAAAAGUUACUUUACUUUCACAUAACUUACACAUGAAAUUCACGUAAAUUCCAAGCGGAUGAUAGUGGUAAUAAAUUCUUAUUCGAAAAGGGACUUCUUGUCAGUCAGCUUACUUGUUUUUUUGUUGUCGUCGGAAGUCGGCCAGUAGACCACACUUGUCAUCCUGCGGGGCCCUAGCACAAGCAACGUAAAUCCGAGCGUUGACAGCGUGGAGCUUCGGAGGAAACUUCUGGAAGCUCCACCGAAUAGAAAACGAAGGACCGUGAGAAGGAGCCGUCGGCAUCGAGGAGAUGAUCCCAGUCAAGUAGAUUUCGUAGGUGUUGGAGGUAUAUUUCAAGUGGCAAUGGAUGGCGCACAAGGAUUCCACUUAGCAAGAGGUCCCGGGAUUGAAUAUUCUAAGUGUACGUGUAUGAACAGUGAUGGUAGUUGAAAUAAAUUAUGUUUGCGAUAAUUUUUUUUAUUAUUACCGAAAGUAGAAACGAAAAAAUAUCAAUAGAAAAGAUUCAAACAUCAUUUCAAUACUAAACACAUUUCACGAUGCUUCCAUUAUCACAUCGCAUUGAACUCACCUGAAAUUCACGUAAGUUGCACGCGACA